UCGCAUCCGCCAAACGGUCAAGCCGUGACGCGGAAGGUUUUUAAAAACAGCUUUAACCAGCUCAAGUUUCCUGCAGGGAAACGGAGGUCAGCG
This 93-nucleotide non-coding RNA is filed under the name Rhodoferax ferrireducens T118. RNAcentral's name for it is "sucA.2008-01-16 RNA". It matches the Rfam family "SucA RNA motif". Lineage: Bacteria; Pseudomonadati; Pseudomonadota; Betaproteobacteria; Burkholderiales; Comamonadaceae. The record is from RNAcentral.